AUAAGCGGAGGAAAAGAAACCAACAGGGAUUGCCCUAGUAACGGCGAGUGAAGCGGCAACAGCUCAAAUUUGAAAUCUGGCCCUUUCAGGGUCCGAGUUGUAAUUUGCAGAGGGUGCUUUGGCGUUGGUUGUGGUCUAAGUUCCUUGGAACAGGACGUCACAGAGGGUGAGAAUCCCGUACGUGGCCGCCAACCUUCGCCGUGUAAAGCCCCUUCGACGAGUCGAGUUGUUUGGGAAUGCAGCUCUAAAUGGGAGGUAAAUUCCUUCUAAAGCUAAAUAUUGGCCAGAGACCGAUAGCGCACAAGUAGAGUGAUCGAAAGAUGAAAAGCACUUUGGAAAGAGAGUCAAAAAGCACGUGAAAUUGUUGAAAGGGAAGCGCUUGCAGCCAGACUUGCCUGCGGAUGCUCAACCGGGCUUUUGCCCGGUGCACUCUUCCGCAGGCAGGCCAGCAUCAGUUCGGGCGGGUGGAUAAAGGCCUGCUAAAUGUACCUCUCCUCGGGGAGGACUUAUAGGGUAGGCGUCAUACACCCAGCCUGGACUGAGGUCCGCGCAUCUGCUAGGAUGCUGGCGUAAUGGCUGUAAGCGGCCCGUCUUGAAACACGGACCAAGGAGUCUAACAUCUAUGCGAGUGUUUGGGUGUCAAGCCCGGGCGCGUAAUGAAAGUGAACGGAGGUGGGAACCCCUCGGGGCGCACCAUCGACCGAUCCUGAUGUCUUCGGAUGGAUUUGAGUAAGAGCAUAGCUGUUGGGACCCGAAAGAUGGUGAACUAUGCCUGAAUAGGGUGAAGCCAGAGGAAACUCUGGUGGAGGCUCGCAGCGGUUCUGACGUGCAAAUCGAUCGUCAAAUUUGGGCAUAGGGGCGAAAGACUAAUCGAACCAUCUAGUAGCUGGUUCCUGCCGAAGUUUCCCCUCAGGAAACCCAA
This is a ribosomal RNA of 922 nucleotides. It matches the Rfam family "Eukaryotic large subunit ribosomal RNA", at positions 46 to 985 of the family's 3401-position model.